RNAcentral lists this long non-coding RNA (18576 nucleotides) under Nicotiana benthamiana. Its description in RNAcentral is "long non-coding RNA (NBEN_LNC033662)". The record is from RNAcentral. Lineage: Eukaryota; Viridiplantae; Streptophyta; Magnoliopsida; Solanales; Solanaceae.
UGGUUUUGUUUUGUCCCUAUUGACUCUUCUGGAAAUCCUUCGUUGCUAUGGAGUCUGAUUGAAGUGACGAGUAUCGUUCGAGAUCCGCGGCUCCGGUUCGAUUGCAGCUGUUCGACAUUUUAUUACUGUUGCUUCUUCCGGCCAGAUCUGGUCGUCGAGUUUAUUGUAAAUGAGUUCUUAUCACUAAUAUAAUUGAGGUCAGAUUCUCACUCUUGUCUUUCUUCUCAAUUUCGUGCAGUAAAUUUGGAUGAAAUGGGUUUAUAUGGUGAUAUAACUGCUUAUGGUGUAUUUGUGAGUUGAUAUUCAAUUGUUUGAUCGUUUGAGUAACUCAUGGCCAUUUGAAGCUGUUAAAUGUUGUAUAGCUUAUUAAAAUUGUUGUUAGAUAUAUGUUUGUCAUUGCUUAAGAAAUUUUUAUUAUUGUGUUGUUAUUGUUAGUUGCCAUGGUUGUUAUUGUAAAGAUAGUAUUAUUAAGUUGAAGUGGGAAUUACGGAUCGCAUCAAAUUACUGGAGCCUAAGAGAAACGUGAGCUUUGGUUCCAUGCUAAGAUAUUACAAUUACUAUUCAAAUGAUAAAAGGAUCAAUGUAAGAUUUAGGAGCAGAUUGACAUGAGUUCUGUCUUGAAAGGUAGUUUGGACUUUCGUUCAACAUAAUUGUGUUUUGGGAAUAAAUUGGUACUGACAAGAGUGGUUGAAUUAAUUAUUGAAUUACUAGCAGCGGAAUGCGUUUCUAUGGAUUUCAAGACCACGAAAGUGUGCUAUUGCUUGUUUUCUGUAAUUGUUCUUCGUGAUUUUGGAUUUGCUAACUGGAUUAUUUGCGCGUGUUUAUUUGAAUUGGUUAUAGCUAAACAUGAUAUUGUUACAAUAUAGAUAUUGAGUUGCUAUUCAUCAACUGAACUACGUAAGGAACCGGGGGUGCAUUUUAUGUAACACGACUCUAUUUUUAAAUAAGGUUAAAUAAAGCAGGUCGUGAACCACGGGUACAUUUCAUGUGACGUGGCUUGCGAUAUGUUCUAUAUAACCUUGAAUUAAUUCAUUGAAUGAAUAAAAGCGGUUUAAUAGUUUAUGGCCCUCCAAAUGUAGUUUUAUUUUAAAUUAGAAUUAGAGUUGUGCCGUGCCGAACAAAAAUGACAAUUGCACGGCCCUUAUUUUUUUAAAUCUUGAAUGGAUCCUUAGAUUUCGAGGCAUGCCAUUUAGCAAAUUCCAUGGCCCUCAAUAAUUACGAAUGCAAAAUUACUUUAGGCGCGUUAGUUAAUGAUACUACUUUCUCAAACUCGGGUGUGCAUUUCAUGUGACCUGAAUCAAAUCCAAAAAUGUUAAAUAAAAUGUCUUUAGGGUUGCGGGUGCAUUUCACAUGACGCGAUCCAAAGACACAUUUUAAACGACGUUCAACUUUCUUUAAAAUAUUGAAUAAAAGCGGUAAAAAGUAUAAAAUUGGCACCUAAGUUCUUCAUGUCAUAAAAUCAGAUAAUAAGCUAGAUGCGACAGUUAAGCGACCCUGCUAAAACCACGGAACCCGGGAAUGACUAACACCUUCUUCCAGGUUAACAAAAUUUCUUAUCCGGAUUUCUAGUUCGCAGACUGUUAACAGAGUCAUCUUUUUCCUCGGUACGAAAUUCAACAAGUGACUUGGGACACCAUAUCUUCCAAGUGGCGACUCUGAACUUUAAUAAACAAAUUCCAUUUUGAUUGUCCUUUAAUUGGAAAAGCUCCUUUACGCCCUUGCGAGGUGUAAGUGAAAAAGGAGGUGUGACAGAACCAACUUCGGUCGGGGCAUACUCACUAAGAGGAACAACCGUUCUGGAACUAAAUACUCCGGGAACAGCAAGCUCGGGAAAUGUCCCCUCCUCGAAGACACGAGCUCGUUUAGCCCCACUAAAAGCUCCAUCGUGUCGCGAGUGUAAGUUCCGUUUACCGCCGUCGUCUCUUAAUUAAAAGGCCGAUGACCCUUCCCCUUCUCUAGGGGAUCGCAGUCUCACCCCAAGGGACCACCCGAUACCUACGAGGGCAAUUCUAGUUCAAAAGAAAGGGGAAACUAUCUUGUCAAAUAAGCGAAGAUCAGGUUAAAAGCAGCACACACGCAUACCUUGAUAUUUCACUUCCAAUCUUCCAUGGGACAUAACUCUCCACCUACGCUAAUCGUAGGUCGAAUGGGUUGCUAACCUUCGUACCCAGACAGGCAGAUCAAGAACUUUGCCUGGCGUCCAUGAAGUUGCUGCAGAGAAGGAGGAAACAUAAUUACUUAACUAGUUUUUUGCUAUUAGCAAAUAUAAGAAUGCACGAGACACUCCACUCACGCAUGUAAUUGGUAAGAGUGGUCGAUGCAGCUUUUACCUGAAAGGUCGGAAUGGAAUCUACAGAGAGCUAAUAUUGGUUUGGAAUUGAGUUUCUAUCUAAUCUAAUUAUGUGCGAUGUUCUUAAUUGCACUUCCCAUCAUGCUUUAUUUUGGUUAAUAUUCUAUUUUUAACAAUAAUGAAAAAUGAAAAAUAAGUUAAGUAUGAUAUUUUCAUAAGGUUUUCUCAAUUGGUAAAAAGACACUACGGAAGUGACUUACACCUAGGUGAAUACCUAACGAGGUCUAAACCGUAGAGCAAACUUCUUGUAAUUUGGAUCAUGAUAUAACCAUUGCCCAUAGUUACUCACUCAGACCUCUCGAUAGUUUGAGUGACUUUGCUCUAAUUGAGUUUCUCAAGCCCAAAUGGAUGUUUACAUAAUGCAAGCAAAAUUGGUUUGAGUACUACUAUAUUUAGGUUUAACCCUUUAAUUGGGGCUAUCAAUAUCUUAAAUGCACCCCAAUUCCUUAUUAGCAAGAAUUUCAUAGACUUAGUAUCUCGUUCUCAAGAAGAGCCUAGUCAAAAAGGCACAAAUCAGUGUUUAGGACCACCAAUUCAACAAUUAAAGCAUAAAUCAAGUUAAGUAUCAUUAACCCAUAAAUAUUUAAGCCCUAUAAUUGAAGACCUAUUAAAUACCCACUUUAGUGUUGGGGCAGAACCCAAGCUAAUGGGUUUAUCUACUUAUAAUUUAAGAAGAAAUCAAAGAUGGAGAUGAAAUAUAAUCCAUAAAAAGUAAUUACAAGAUUAAAAUCUAAGAUUAAUUGUUAAAGAUGUUUAAUCACUCAAAAAGGUAGAAAGUGGCUUUUCACGUGCUCUACAAAAAAAUAGUUACCCUAAAAAUCUGGAAAAGAAAGCGAUUUAUACAUAGCUAAAUUUUUCGAAGAAAAUUGCCCAUAAGGAAAUUCUGCUGACAGUGGAAAAUAGGUCACCUCUGUGCUAUGACUACCGUGACCAUGCAAAAGCAAGCGCGGACCGCGGUUCUUCUCUUCGGAGCUGGAUCUUAACUUGAGUCCUCCGGGAGCAGAAAAACACCCGCCUCAGUGUUCCUUCAACCUCGACCACGAAAUAUGCUCACGGAUCGUGCCUUUCAAUUUGAGCUCCCAACUAUAGUACUCUGAAUAUUAAUUUAGCUUAGGGCGAGAACGGAACCACGGUCGCAUUAGAUGAUACCGCUGCCGUGCAAUUUCAUCGCGGGUAGUGGUGACUGUUAAGCCCAAAAAACUGCUUCUCUGAACCUUGUUACUGCUAAGAGCGUAGUUAAGGCAGUUAGCGGUGGACACUCCACGUCCACAUCUACUUCUCUAGUGUUAGCGCCCUUUUUGAGCUUUGAACUUGUGCAGGUUUUACUCCAUUGUGAGCUGGUUUUGACUUUCUUCUCUCAUUUUAACCAAACACUAUAAACAAGCACAAUAAGUUAGCUUUCGAGAAUAUUUGUACAUUCUUUCAGUCCAAAACUUAAUCAAUAAGGAUCGUAUAAUAGGCUAGAAUCUCUUGUUAUCAACUCCCCCAAAACUUAAGCUUUUGCUUGUCCUCAAGCAAACAAAGUAAUUCCCACCUUCUCAAGAUAAAAGAAUGGAAAAUUUCAGUUAUCCUAAAGUAACUUUAUCAAGAAUCAAUUGAGACUAACAAUUAUCCUCGACUCAAAUGCAUUAUUAACAACACACAACCUUUUUAACACCUUGGCUUUAGUGCAACAGAAAAGCAUCAAUAGUUGACUCAACUCAUCAAGUAACUCUUCCUAAUACAUUGGUCAUUGUGGAACCCAAACUCAUACUAAUCGACUCUCCAUAUGGAAACCUCAAUUUUAGAUUGUAGCAAUCAGAACGAUAAUUGUGAAAACACACUCAUCUCUCUGAAGGUUACUAGUCUGGCUCUAAGUACCAUAAGUUUGCCCCUUAUAUGAUUCAGCACUAAUGUAAGCUCACCCAACUAAAGAUCAUAUAGGGAUUUUGCAGUAAUGUAACAAAGGCUUUUGGUUCAAGGUAGGAUAUAUCGAUCUAUGAAGGUUUAAAAUUUCCUUAAGCACUUCAUUUUCUUUAUUUUGGCUCACAUUUUCUUGACUGUUUGAGUCAUUUACUUCUUCCAUAUGGGCAAGAGAGACACACUGUCAUUCUUUCAUGUUUAUGUCAAUCGUUUUUCUCCUUUCUAGUUUUUCCAAGCCUUUCAUUUAUGCUUUUAUUGAAUCCCUUCAUUUAUUUUACAUUGUUCACUUUCUUUUUGGAUUUUUGGCUUUUUCUUUCUUUUGUUUUUUGCCUUCCCUUUUCUUACUUUGUGCCUUAUAUCACUUUUGCAUUCCUCGUCUUUUCCCCCAACUUAUACUUUUGCCAAUUUGUGCUAAGGAAAGAUCGGGUGUCAAUGGGAUCCAGAACGGAUAAAGGCUUGUAUCAUAGUUUUUAAAAGAAUAAGGGAUAUGGAUCAAUGGGGUUGACUAGGGAUAUCAUUUUUUUUGGCCUGUGGAUGUUUUUAAGUCUCAAUUUUGAUCAAGGAGAGCCUAUAAUCACUUCUCAAGUAAAGCUACACUUGGGAUUUUCCUAGACAAACAUUCAGGGAAAGUUCUAGAUUUAUUGGCACGAGACUUGGACUUUCAAAUAAAAACCUCACCACUCAAGCUAUAUGAUUGAUUAAGAGAUAGAGUCCACGCCCACAAAAACCUUGGAUAAGAUUUGAGCAACACAAAUGGUUCCAAAAAACCACUCAAUGAUUGUUUAGUGAACACAAGAGUCUCAAAGUCACAACUAUCACCAUCCUAUACACACCAAUUUGCUUUUAGCCAUAAGGUCAAAGGUAAAUGUGUUAGGCCAAAGUGAAGAUUUGCUUGAGGCAGUAUUGUGCACUGGAUACUACUUACAGAAAAAUGAAAAGAAAACAGACUCAAAUCCUUAAAAAGGUUGUCAUGCCAUCCAUCAACGGGAAGAUCCACCCGGUUUACACAAACCCUACCUUUUGAAAGAACCAUCGCAUUAAGAAAACCAAAGGCUUAUUGAUAGCAAAAACUUGUAAACAUAAGAACCUACGAACUGAAAAAGAAGAUAUGCUAUUUAGGAAAAUUGCAAAAGAAGAUAUGAAGUAAAAUAUGGAAAGUAAACUGAAUAUGUAUAAUAGGGGGUUGAGAAUAUAUACAUGGAAAAGUAACUUUAUAUACAUACCAAAAUUGAAAAGUAACGAAAAGUAAAAAAGUAAAAGGUAAUGUUAUAUACAUGCAAAAAUUGAAAAAUGACAAUAAAGAAAAAUCAGUGUCAUAAUUACAAACCAAAUGUCAAAUCAUCAAAAUAGAAUAGGACCACCCCAUCAAAUGAAAACUAAGCAUUGACCUCAAUGCUAAAUAGCAAAAAAAGCUCACAAAGGGGCUAAAAAGUAAUGAAAAUUCCCUAUGGGUCCUCUGUCUUCAUGGGGUCAUUUUGCUGGCCUGUGGCACCUCCCUCGGGGUCCUCCAGCUCGAUCUCUGAGUCAUCAUCCUGGUGAAUCAGUCUCCUCCUCCUAGGCUCUCCCUCAGCCUCCUGUUCCUGUACCUGCACGUCCUAAACUACUGGCAAUGGAUCUUCGAAUAAUAGCUCCAAUGGUACGUCGCCAGCUGACUUCAUCUUCUCCACCUCUCAUCUCGACAACUCCACUGACUCCUUUCAGGCCUAAGUCUUUUUCAUCUUCUUCGUCUUCUUGCUCAGCUCCUUAAUUGAUUUUCCUUGAACUGCAAAAGAAUCCAUGAUGAGUUUUUGGUUGUCCAGGAGCUUCUUCUGGUUGUCCAGAAGCUCCUUAAGAGAUUCCUCCAUUGAAGUUGGCACAUAGGGAUGUGCGGAAACUGUUUGGGAUGCCAAUGAUCUAGAUAGUACAUAUAGUUUUUAUGUUACUACAUGUAUCCACUUGUUGAUCUAGAGAGAGUCUAGUUCGCUUAUGAGCAAUGAAAGUAUAUGUUGACGAGGAGGGCACGGAGGAUGGAAUUAAAGUAGAUGGUCCAAGGGAAGGAUUUGGUAUGGCAGUGGGAGGCUCAGAAGCAUUAGCUAUCACUAUUGGCUCUUUAGACUGGCCAAUAGAAGUAGUCGGUUUUCCCUUGAAUUUCGGGUUGCCUGAACCUUAAAGGUUGUACCAUACGAAGGGCUUAUUGGGCUUCACCUUGGUAUCGAGAUCCAUUUUCUCAACCUCCUAAUCUUCCAAGUACAUGGUGAGGAAGUUCGGAAAUGGGUAAGAUCUCUCACCCUUGAUGACCACUUAGGUGAUCACCCCAAACAUUAUAUUCCCGACAUUGAUUGGGAACCCUGCCAUAGUAUCCGCCACUAUUAUCGCCCGGGAAACCGGCAUGUCAAUGUCACGAGUAGUGGGGUCUAAUGUGUUGUACACGAAGUUCAGGGUGUUCCUAUAGAUAGGGACCCUCACUGCCAACCAAGAUGGAGUAGUAUACGAGAGAGCUAGUGAUGCCAACCACGAGUAGGGUGCCUCAUCCAUGGCCACCUUCUCUAAGUACAACAAAUCAUCUUCAUUAUUGAAACCAAUAUAUUCAUUUACAUUCUUUCCCUCAAACAUGAUCUUCAGGUUCCGCAGCUUAGUCACAAAUGUGCCCUUUUUUAUGGGGGCGACAUUGGCAUAAAUUUGCUUGACUAGGUACUCAUUAGCAUCCGGCAGCCCGCUCGAGAUAUAUUUCUACCCCACUCUUUCAUCAAAGUUGCUCUUCUCAUUGGGGUUGUGGGGCAGAAGAUCCUGCUCUAUAAAAUGAUGCUCAUGUGUGAGUGACCUUUGAGGCCACCACUCCCUAAAUUUGUGAUAGGCCUGCUCAUUGACAAACCUCUGUUGCCAUACCUCCGGGUGUCUUGUCCUUUGCAAACCUCUGAUUUAGGUAUCUCGUCCUCUCCUGUUUCUAGGUGUCUUAGCAUCUACACCUAUAGGGUCCUUCUUAGGUGAAGAAGUUGUAGGACAAGAUGAUGCUAAGGACUCACUACUCUUCAUUGAGCCAUCAGACGACUCAGAAGAAACAUGAGUUGUAGGAGAGGCUUUGGGUGUAGGCACGUCUAUCAAUCUAAAUCUUCCUGGGAAUUCUGGUACAUAUAUAGGUACAGAGUCAACCCGUGAGGCCUCUUGGGAGGGAACAUAGUUGCUUCCCUCAGAGUUGGAUGCAACUUUGGUACUUUUUCGUAUUUUCCCAAUUGAUUGCCGGACUACUAGGGGUAACUUGAUUUGUCCUCGUCCCUUACAUUGGGAGAAAUCUGCUUUCCUCUUUUGUUUCUUACUUCCUCCUCUAAACUUAUCAAUUUUAUGCAUACAUAAUUAGUGGAAGAUUGUUCUUAAGGGUGCUAAAACAAGUAGUGAAUAACAACAAAGAAAAAUUGACAGUGUUUUACAAAAACAUUACAGAACUGAUGACAACGGAUAAACAAGUGUGGUCGCAUAAUGAGCACCGCUCAGAGCACAAAAAGGGGCGUGAGCGCGGAGGUAUGGGGAUCAGACUAUGCAUCCUAUAAUUCUAUAGUCCUACUGAUGGUAGAAGUUGCACUGCUGUCUGCGGAAAAACAAUCGUGGUCGAGGACCCAUUUUGUAUAAUUCCCUGAACAUGCGUAUCGCUGACCGCGAAAAAUGCGACGUGACCCCAUAAAGCGGGCCCCUGUCAGCGGAAUUUGCCACCGCUGACCGCGGUGUUCAAGACUUCCAAAAUCAAAUUUUCCUCAUGAAUGCUAACCGUGGAAAAACAUUUGCGAUUGCGGAAUUAAAAAUAAACCUAAGCAAUCUUAGUGUUUCAAUUUUUCAUGCAUUUAGCGGUUAUCAUCUACACUGUUAACCCCAAAGAGUGUUGAUUAAUCAAUCCUAAUUAUUUAACCAUAAGGAAUUACACUGGUGAACCCUAAUUGAACCCUUAAAGAAAAUAAGAUGAAAUAAAAACUAAAAAACAAAAGAAACACAUGUACAAAUUAAAGAACAAUUAGGAAUUGAGGUUACCAUAUGUGUAAUGAGUGAUGAGAAUAGACAUUAAUCUUAUUUCUAUGCGGAUUAAGGCUUCGGUGAACAAUAAAAAUUAAGCUUUGCGAGUUCAGAUGUUGAAAAGGGUAAAAGGUCUCUUGAACUUCUAUUUAUACUAAGUACCCCAGGACCCACCGAUCUCACCUGACACGGCUGCAGAAUAUCACCGCGGCCCAUGGUUUGGACUUAUUGAAGGGCAUCUUGCUUAACACUUCCAUUGAGAUCGGAAAAUGGGGAACUACUGCACAAAGCCACUGCUGACCGUGAAAAAUCCUCCCUGGAUGCAAACUGACAUCCAUUGAUCGUGAAAAAUAGGGUGUUGUCAACGGUCCAACUAUAGAAUUUGCCAAAUUUUUCUAGAUUUGUCCUGCAUUGCAUCAAACAUUCCUACAUACAUCUCAUACCCUGUUAGUACAAAACAAAUCCUACACUAAGAAGAAAACCAAAAAGAAGAAAAACAUAUAGGUUGCCUCCCCAAAAGCGACUGAUAUAAUGUCGCGGCAUGACGCAUGUUACUAUCAAUAAUUUGAGAAUGAUCAUUUCCACCACGUGGCUGUCAUCAAACUUGCAAAGAUAGUUCUUCACUCUGUGCCUAUUUACUAUGAAGAUUUCACCAUUUUUGUUUUUAAAAUCAAGAGAACCAAACGAAGUUACAUGCACCACCUCAAAAGGUCCACUCCAUUUUGACUUGAGCUUUCCUGGAAACAGUUGUAACUGGGAGUUGAAUAAGAGAACCAAGUCACCUUCCUUGAAUUCCUUGCUAUGGGCAUACUUGUAAUGUAAGCACUUCAUCUUGUCCUUAUACAAAGACGAGUUGGAAUAGGCAUGAAACCAAAACUCGUCAAGCUUAUUGAGUUGCUCUAUCCGGAGAUUUGCUGCAAUAUCCCAUUCAAGAUUUAACUUUUUCAAACCCACAUGGCCUUGUGCUCUAACUCAGCCGAAAGAUGACAAGAUUUCCCAAAUACCAAGCGGUACGGAGACAUACCAAUUGGAGUCUUGUAUGCAGUCGUGUAAGCCCACAAAGCAUCAUCCAGUUUCAUUGACUAGUCAGUCCUAUUUGCAUUGACAGACUAUGACAUUAUGCUCUUGAUCUCUCUGUUGGAGACCUCAACUUGCCCACUAUCCUGAGGAUGGUAAGGGGUUGAAACUUUGUGAUUGACACCAUACUUUGCAAGCAAAGUGUCAAAUGCAUUACUGCAGAAAAGAGAACCACCAUCACUAAUGAUUGCUCUAUGAGUGCCAAAUUGAGUAAAGAUAUUAUUCUUGAGAAAAGCCACCAUACUCCGGGACUCAUCGUCGGGUAAAGACACGGCCUCAGCCGACGUAGAAACAUAAUCAACGGCCAGCAGAAUGUACGUGUUGCCACAUGAAAUCACAAAAGGCCCCAUGAAGUUAAUGCCCCACAUAUCAAAUAUGUCAACCUCAAGAAUAGUGGUGAGAGGCAUUUCAUACUUCUUUGAAUUCCACCUGCUCUCUGACACUCAUCACAUAUAUUCACAAGCUCACCCGCAUCUCUACACAAUAUAGGCCAAUAAAAACCACAGCUAAACGAUCCUCGCUCCACCAUGAUGACCACCGUAAGGAGAGGAAUGACAAGCAUCUAGAAUACUUAUUUUCUCCUCUUCCAAAACACAUCUCUAAAUCACACCAUCAUUACAAAUUUUAAACAAAUAAGGACCAUCCUAGUAGUAGUCCAAGCUAUCCCAUUUAAGCUUCUUCCUUGUGUUAGAAGAGAGCUCAUACGGAAUAAUACCGGUCAUAAGAAAGUUGGCAAUAUUCGCAAACCAAUGUAUGUUAUUCACAGAUAUAGAGAAGAGUUGCUCAUAAUGGAAUGAAUCAUUAAUUUCGAGGUCAUCACGAGGGCUCCCCUCCUCCUCGAAGCGGGACAAGUGGUCCGCCUCUUGGUUUUCUCUCCCUUGUUGAUCAACAAUCUCAAGGUAAUGCUCUUGAAGCAAUAGAACCCAUCUUAUCUACCGAGCCUUAGAAUCCUUCUUUGUCAUCAAUUAGCGUAGUGCUAUAUGGUCAAUAUGAACUAUUACUUUGGCACCCAUGAGAUAAGGCCUAAAUUUCUCCACUCCAGACACAAUUGCUAGCAACUCUUUUUUUCGUCAUCGUGUAAUUUACCUGAGCAUCAUUUAUUAUUUUUCUUGCAUAAUAUACCGGGUGAAACAUUUUGUUUACUCUUUGCCCCAAAACCGAUCCUACCACAACAUCACUUGCAUCACAUAUGAGCUCAAAAGGUAAGCUCUAAUUGGGUGCUGUAAUAAUGGGAGUGGUUGUCAAUUUGUACUUGAGAAGUUCGAUAGCCUUCAUGCAUUCAUCAUUAAACACAAACUUUGCAUCCUUUUUCAACUUGAACUUGCUACAAUUGACCUUUUGCCAAGUGGUUCAUUGUAGCAUUUAACUUUCCUAUUGUCCUGACAUGGUUGUGGAGCUCUUUGUAUAGGUGAAUGACAAUAGGAUUACCCUGUGGCACAUUAGCUCAACAUUGCCAAGCUGAGGAAGUAUAUGACGUCUUAUCCAAGAUCUCACACGCCUCAGCAUAAGGUGUGUUCAUAAAUUUUUCCCUGCUAGCUGGUUCACUACACAAUAAUUGGUGUUAAUGCCACUAUGGAAUGUUUCCGGGAUUAUUGCUUUGGUCAUGUCAUUGUUCGGACAUUCUUUCACCAUUGUCCAAUACCUCUCUCAGAUCUCAUGAAGUGAUGCAUUAUGUUCCUUUUGGAAGGCCAAGAUCUCAUCUCUCAAUGUCGGCAUAUGCCUCGGCGAGAAAAACUUAGUUAUAUACUUGUCCGCCAACUGUAGACAUGUAAUUUUUUACCCGCAAAUUAGAAUUAUCUUUAAUAGUCCUACUAUUUUAGGAUAUUUAUUUGAGUAUAGUUCUAUAGGAUUUCACUUUAUUUUUAAUUUUAUAUUUUUAAAGCAUAAAAAUUUUAAAAAAUACAAAAAAUAAUUUCAUGUUUUAUCUUAUUUAUAUUUAGUUUAGGUUAUUAGUAUUUUUAUAGUGAUAUUAUUUUAAUUUUACCAUGACGUUAAUGUAUUUUUUUUAUUAUUCUUAUUUUAGUAUAAUCUUGUGAAAAUAUCAAAAAAUAGUCACAUUGUUUUAUAGUUAAUUCUAUUUUAAAAGUGUAUUUUAAUUAGGAGUAGUCUUACAGUUUUAUAAAUAUUUUAAAUGAGGAACAUUUAGGCUUUUAGCUAGUGAGAUCCAGAUUUUUUUAAGAAGCCCAAUUGUUAGUCAAUUCAAGAGAAUUUUGGCCCAAUUUUGGACAAAAAGAUGGCCCAAUUUCGGACGAGCCCCUAAGCCCAAUAGUCCAUUACUCGCCCAAAGACCCGCCUCCCAUCCGCUUGACCCGCCCAAUGCCCUUUAACUCUCAGCCUUCCAUUCCCACUAAAUCCUAGGGCCAAUAUUAAUCCUCCCAAACCAUAUAAAAACCCAAUAUUAAACUAAAACCUAACCCUAAUAAACCAAAGAGACCACCCAAACGGUGCCAUCCCCAUCUCCCACCUCUAACGCUGCUACAACCCACCGGAAAAUUCUCUCCCAUGCGCUCGUGGUCACCUACUCCUCUUCUCUUUCCUCCACGUGGCUUGACAAGUAACGACCCCGAAUAUUCUCUCAUUCUCACCUCUUUUCUCCCGUGUUUGAAGCCUCUAGAAGGCAUAUGCUGGAUGAAUGGGGAGUGUGGAAUCGAUUUCAAUUGAUCCCAGUCCUUCAUUCUUCAGCUCUUUGCCUGAUAUAUAGAGGAAUUUUUGAAGAAGAAAAAAGGAUUUCUUUAGACAGAUUUUCGGAGUUUUAUUGAAAAGUAGAAUAAAAAUUAGGAUUUUGAUUUUUGCUUUCUUCCUAUUUUUCAUUUGAGUUUCCAGAAAAAAUAUUAAUAAAAUAUUUAAUUCCUUUCUUCUUCUUAAUUUAAUUUCGAUACCAGAAAAUAUCAACAAAAAAGGUUUUCGUUUCUUCUUUUAAUUUCUGUUAAAAAAGGAGCUCUAUUGAGAAGUCUUUGAGUUAGUCGCUAAUCGAGGUGUCGAUCUCCGGCCGUUGUUGCCUUUUCAGUUUGAUUUCGGUUUUGUUGCCAGAUUUCUCAUUGUAUAUUAAUCGCAGAAUUUUUAUUGAAAGCUCAUUUUCAGGCUUCUUUCUGAUUCCCUUUCUCCCUAAUUUUAGUGUUGAUUGAAACAUGAUAAGUAUUGAAGCUUAAUUGGUUAUAAAUUGUCUGAUGCUUGGUUAACAUUAGAGGAAAUUAUUUCUUGAGACUAACAAACAGAACUCUAAUCGAUUUUGUGACUGUCGGUCGUAAUGUAAUUGCUUGCCCUUUUCAUGAAUAUUUCUGCAUGGUUUGGCUGAGUUUAUUUGUUAAAAUGAGUUUCUGAAGUUAUUCUCUAAUGUUCUCUGUCAGUUAUUGUCUUGUUAACUUUGCUUAGUUCCUAAAAACUGUACAAAUCCUUAUAUCUUAAUCGAGUCAAUACCAGUAUUGUGCUUAAUUCAUCAUUCUAUCAUCAUUUCUCUUAUGUCUCAGUUUGAUUUGAAUCAACAAAAUCUCCUGCCCUAUUUUUCCUCCAUGAUUGACUGAUAAUUGCAUAUGAUAACCUUCAUUUCAUGACUUAAAUCUGUCAUCGUCCUUAGUCAACAUUUUGAUUAAUUUUGUUCAGUGUAGUCAAAGGCGCGCUUAAGCCCUAAAGUGAUGCUCAAUAUAUGUCGCAUCAAGGCUCUAAGACAUACUUUUAGUUGCCAAUGAGUUUAAUUCUGAAAAGGCAACAUUAAAUAAUUGAUAUUUUAUUUUAUCGUAAUCUUUUUUUUUAAUUUCUUUGUCCAUAUAUUUAUUAUUCAUGCUUAUAAUUAUUGUUCUUAGACUACAUAUGCAUAUUUUUACUUUUUAUCUAGUUGUGCCAUUUUUCAUUACAGCCAUGCUUUAUUUACGCUUAAAGUCCCAAAGAAUCUUAGACUUUUUUUGCGCUUUGCUUCUUAGAUAACAUUGGUUUGGGUUUUCUUCUAUUUUUUUAGUUGGUGUCUAAGCUGUGAAUGUACAGAACAUCCGGCAUUUGAAUUCUUGUGUCAAAAGGCUUGUAGAAGAUAUGUAUUGGCGUUUCAGUUUCAUGCAGAAUGUUAGUCACUUAGAUAUGGAGUCCAUGUGUUCUAAUGACUAAGUUUCAAAUCCAGAAAUCAAUUAACAAUUCUUGUUUGAGUUCAGGGAUAAAAUAAAAGUUUGAUGAAGUGUAACCGCAAGUUUGCGACUUAACUCAAGUUAAUUUUGCCUUCAGCAUGCCAAUCCUUGUAGUUUCUCGGUCGUUAGUUAUUUUUAAAUAUUAAUUUGUCAUCAAAUUCUUCUGUUAAUUAUGUUUAGUAUGAAUUACAUUCACAUCGGUUCUCCUAAAGUUGUCUCGAACCAAUCUGCUGUCCGAAACAUGGAAUUUUCUUAUAUCUAGUAUAUCUGUCAGUUUAUUUCAUCCUGUAGUUUUGAAGUUAUCUCUGACUUACCUCUUCAUGCUUCCAUAUGUCUGUUAUGGUUCUCAAUUUGUUAACUCUUUGUUAUGCCUCCUCUGUUGCUUUAGAGCUAAUGCAUGAUAAAUUAGAAUCUAUUUGAAGUCUAAAAUUCUUUAUAAAAGCUUCGAGAUACCUGCAGCUCGUUAACACUAUUAAGAACACUAUGGCUCCGGCAUGUUUACGUAUUCAUGUAUUGCUUUGUAAAGUGUUCUUUCCCUAUUGCAGCUCCAUUUGACCAGAAUUUAUGUGGAAAUUGGUUAUUGUUUUCCCUUCUUUUCCUUAUGUGUAACUUGGUUAUUAGGAAAGGGGAUUCCAGAUCUUAAGCGGCUCUUCCCACAUUUUAAUUCACUUUUUUUUGUGUUGUCUCAUUUAAUAAUUGUUCCUUCUGCCAUUUUCCUUAUUUUCUUAUCUUGUGUACUGCGGAUGCUUUGUUUAGUUUAUUGCUUAGUCAAUUUUCCAUGCUUUGUUUGAGUUGGAUAUUUGACUUGCCUGAGCAUAGUCAUAUGAUUGUUAAACACGACAGGUACAUGGGAAGGGGGAAGAUGGAGUCCAUAGUAAUUUCAUCUUGUUUUAGGAUUGGACUCGGUCUAAAUGUAUGAAAAUGAUAAGUUAAAAGCACAUGACCCCGAGUUGAAGUUCUUUUUAGUUUUUUCUCUUAUUUGUAGUCUAAAGUAUUGUAAAAGAAAAAUCAUUUUUAAAAAUUGAUCUGGCACACUGAAACCAAUGUCAGGUGGCGACUCUGAGUCAUUUUUUUUUCAAAACAAUUUUGUCACUUUUUAAAUAAAAAUCCUUUUGAGCUUUACAAAUCCUUUUAUUAUUUUUAAUAUGGCUAAGUGAGUUGAAGAAAAAAAGGGUUUGAUAGCUCUGGUGACUUUGCUGGGGAAUUGCAGGUUCGAGCUGAUAAUGUGAUCUUGUUGGCUUUUUGAAUAUUCGGUUGAGGUUUUUAUAUUUUUUUAUUUUCUUUAUUUGAUUUUUAUUUUUUAUUUGUGUUUUUUUGGUUAUUUUCUAGUUGUUAUGGGUUUACCGGUUUUUUGCUUACGUGUUACUACUUUAUAACUAUCAUUAUUUAUAUAACUUCGAGUCAAUUUGUCACGACCCCAACUCAGUCGUGAUGGUGCCCAACACACUGCUAGGCAUGCCUGACCAAUUUUACCAACCUUAACCUUUUUAUACAGUUCAUGAUUUAAUUAACACAAAUAAUUACUAAGUCAUAUUGGUGAAACGCUGAAAUAUGGUUACAACAUGUGGAAAACCAAAAUAGAAAUACUACUACUACUACUACACAGCCCGAAGAAUCCGGUGUCACAAGUCCGAACCUCUAAUAUACGGGUGUAAACCUACUAUAUAUUGAUCUAAAGAAAUGCAUAAUAAAACAAAUAGGAUAGAUAGGAAGAUCAGGACUGCAGAUGUCAUGCAGCUACCUUGAUGCUCCCAGAUAUGAUGCUCGGCAGAGAAAUUCUCCCUCAUCCUCAGUGGGUGCACCUAGAUCUGCACACAAGAUGCAGGGAGUAAUGUAAGUAAUUGCAACCCAUAGAGUAAUUAACAUAAAUAAAGGCUGAGAAUAAGAAAUCCUGGAUAGGCACAAUGUAAGCUAUAAUUAUAGCAGUUGAAUCCAGAUAAUAUCAACUCAAUAAACCAAUGAAAAUAAUAAUGCUGCAACAGAUAAGUAAAUGAAUGACAAUCAAUUAAGAAAUGCAACAAAUAGUACGGUACUCUUUAGUACCCGAUGCGGUGCGCAGCGUGCUCCAUUUCUUUAUUAUCGACGGUGCUCACUGAGGGUGUACAGACUCCGGGAGGGGCCCCUUAUGGCCCAAUCACAAUAUCAAGCCACCUCGUGGCAUAUAAAAUAAGGUCUGAAAGCCUUCUUACAUCGCUCAUAAGGCUUGAAAACCUCCUCACAUCACUCACAAGGCCUGAAAGACUCCUCACAUUACUCAUAAAGCCUGAAAGCCUCCUCACAUCACUCACAAGGCAUGGAAGCCUUCUCACAUCACUUAUAAGGCCUGAAAUCCUCCUAUCAAUAUUAAUAUAAUAUUGAUGCGGCGCGCAACCCGAUCCUAUACUCGGUCCAGAAUCAUAUAAGCCUAUCGGACACAAUAAUAUUUAAAUAUUCAGUCCAAGCUUCAUUAGAAAUAUUAUUUAAGUUCCAAGUUUGAGAAAAAUAUGGCUCAGUUUGCAAAACAAUAUUAAAUACUAGGACUGAGUUCACUGAUAUGUACAAAUGGUAAUAAACCAAUAAGGGCAAUCCCUGAAGGAUUCAAUCAGUUGGCACUAGGCCCAAUUAUGAUAAUUUAAUCCACUUUUAUAAGGAUAUUAACUAAGCUUCAUUCAAUUAGGUAGUAUUUUUAUUACGCAGGACGGACCAAGUUGUAAUUCCCGAUAGUGCUCUACCCCAUGCUUGUUAUCCGGCGUAACCUCAACAUAGCACUAUGAUGUGCAAAUUCAGGAUUUCAAACUCUCAACAGAGCACUUACAUCUAUUACUAACCUCAAGUCGACCAAAAUCCUAGUUUGCUACGCCCUUCCUCUCAAAUCGACCUCCUCGUGCAUCGAAUCUGACCAAAACCAAAAUGAAUACGACAACAGUAUUACAUACUAAGACUGAGUUCAAUGAUAUGUACAAAUGGCAAGGAAUUAACAAGAGCAAUCCAUGAAGGAUUAAAUCAGCUGGCACGAGGCCCAAUUAUGAUAAUUUAAUCCACUUUUAUAAUGAUAUUGACUAAGCUUCAUUCAAUUAGGUAGUAUUUUUAUUAAGUGAGACGAACCAAAUCACAAUCCCCAACGGUGCUAUACCCCACGCCCAUUAUUCGGCGUGCAAGUCACCUCAACAUAGCACUAUGAUAUGCAAAUUCGGGGUUCCAAACCCUCAACACAACAUUUACAUCUAUUACUAACCUCAAGAUGGCCAAAAUCCUAGCUCGUCAUUAACCUGAAAAUAUGGGCAACCCUGGUAAAAUAGCCCUAAAAUCCUCAUACGAUGUCCAAAUUUACAUCGGAUUCAAGCCUAAGUUCUUCUAAAACUUCCGAAACAUGCAUUUGAUAAAAAAUCCAACCAAAUCACCUCCGAAAAGCCUGAAAUUUUGCACACGCAUCUUAAAAUCACCUAACAAAGCUACAACAACUCUUUUGACUUCUAUUUCGACCGUCGGAUCAAAAUCUCACCUAUCAACCGGAAUUCGCCAAAAUACUAACUUCGCCAUUCAAGCCUAAUUCUACAAUGGACCUCCAAAAUCACUUCUGAUCACUCUCCUAAGUCACAAAUCAUCCUCCAAAGCUAACCAAAUUGUCAGAAUUCACAUCGGAUCCCUCUAACUUAUAGGUCAAUAUCCGAUUGACUUUUUCAAAACAAGUAUUCCUUCAAGAGCUAGGUGUCUUAUCUCCUUCCAAAAAUCAACCCAAUUCAACUCGUUCAACUAAGACAUUAAUAAUGAAGCGUAAUAAAGCAGGAAAUGGGGAAAACAAAGCGGUUCUCAUGAGAAGACGGGUUGAGCCAUCACACAAUUGUUUCUGCAAUAAGUCUUGGAGUAUGUUUUGCGUACUCAAACUCUUCAAUGAGUCAUCCUUAUUUUAGGAGGGGGACUGUUGGGCGUAUGGAGUGGGUGGAAAGCUUGAGCAGCUACUAUCGAGCAUACACUCCCCCGAAUUGCCUUGUAUAAUGAACCCCAAACUUAGGUCAAGCUUUUGGUCAUGAUCGGUUCGAGGCAUCGUGUCUGUUUAUAGAAGACCUAAGUUUAUAGAAGGCCUAUCAAAAUUAUGUCCAAACAGACCCAUGGCUCCAAAAAAUAUUUAAUCAUCCAUAUGUGCUACAUGAUGCAUUCUUUAAGCAUGGCAGAUCAAUGAUGGUUGAGGGUAAAUGAAAAGGAAAGAGGGUAAGUAGAAAGAUGAAGCAAGUAGGGCCUAGUAAUAUUUUUCUACUACAACUUUCUCAAGAAAUGACAAAAAAAAUGAAAAUCAAAAAUCAAAAAAGAUUUUGCACUUUCCAUAAUUUUUCAAAAAUAAAAAAAGAGAGAAAAAGAAAAUACAAAAAAGAUUUUACAUUUUCCAUCAUAUUUCAGAAAAGACAAAAAUAUGUUUUCUCCAAAUCAGUCAUUUUUCCCUUCUAAUUUUCUUAUGUAUACAAUCUUUCUGAACUAUGAAACCUCUCAUCUUUUUAGACGGGAUAUUUAGGCAGCCCAGAUAGGGUUCGGUCUUCCUAGUAAUUCUUAGGAAUUUGGCUUCGCGAGAUCUUAGCCAAAUCUUGCAUGUCUGGACACAUCAGCUUUUUUUGCAAAAUAGGGCUAUUUUUUAAAGUGGUUUUAUCCCAUGUCAUAGAGACCUAAGUCCACAACAAAGUGUCCUCUUAGUUUUAAGGUCCAUUCAUGUUGAAUUUGCAUGUCCAGCCACGUUUGGUCACAUCGUCCAUUCUUUCAAAAUGGGAUCGUUUUCGCAAAAGUGCUUCAAUUACCCAUGUUUUAGGAUAUUGAGUCCACUAAUAGGUGUCAUAUUGAUUUAUGGUCUGUCCUUGAGUUUUUAUCUUUAUCCACUUCUAGCCAUAUCUGUUGCUUUUGCAAAUGGGUCAUUUCUGCAAAUUAAUUUUAGGCCAUGAUUAUUGAUAAAUUUUGAAUCCAUAUAAGACUUAGUGAGGCAUUUUCCAUGUCUUAGAGUUCAAUUUUGUUGAGUUUACACUUCUAGCCAUCCUUGCCCUUAUAGGUCAUUUUGCAAUAAUAUCCCAAUCAUGCCUUGCAUGUGUCCAAUAGGAGGUAUCAUUGUGUCUUCAGUCACUAACUCUAUUUGGUCUUAUUUGCUCAUUUAGGUAUGGAUCCAUUUACCAGAGCUCGAGCAUGACUGAUACCUUAGGA